Molecule: ribosomal RNA, 465 nt
Filed under: uncultured bacterium
Lineage: Bacteria
Description: partial 16S ribosomal RNA
Rfam family: Bacterial small subunit ribosomal RNA
Source: RNAcentral
GAUGAACGCUGGCGGCGUGCUUAACACAUGCAAGUCGAACGGAAAGGCCCUGCUUGCAGGGUACUCGAGUGGCGAACGGGUGAGUAACACGUGGGUGAUCUGCCCUGUACUUUGGGAUAAGCCUGGGAAACUGGGUCUAAUACCGAAUAUGACAAUUGUUUGGAUGCGAUUGUGGAAAGCUUUUGCGGUAUGGGAUGAGCUCGCGGCCUAUCAGCUUGUUGGUGGGGUAAUGGCCUACCAAGGCGUCGACGGGUAGCCGGCCUGAGAGGGUGUACGGCCACAUUGGGACUGAGAUACGGCCCAGACUCCUACGGGAGGCAGCAAUGGGGAAUAUUGCACAAUGGGCGCAAGCCUGAUGCAGCGACGCCGCGUGGGGGAUGACGGCCUUCGGGUUGUAAACUCCUUUCGCAACCGACGAAGCCUUUUGGUGACGGUAGGGUGAGAAGAAGCACCGGCUAACUACGU